This 253-nucleotide ribosomal RNA is filed under the name uncultured bacterium. RNAcentral describes it as "partial 16S ribosomal RNA". It matches the Rfam family "Bacterial small subunit ribosomal RNA", at positions 524 to 776 of the family's 1533-position model. The record is from RNAcentral.
AACGUAGGAGACAAACGUUAUCCGGAGUUACUGGGCGUAAAGGGCGUGUAGGUGGUUUCGUAAGUCUGGCGUGAAAUUUCUCGGCUUAACCGAGGCAGGUCGUCGGAUACUGCGGGACUAGAGGACGGUAGAGGCGUGUGGAAUUCCGGGUGUAGUGGUGAAAUGCGUAGAGAUCCGGAGGAACACCAGUGGCGAAGGCGACACGCUGGGCCGUACCUGACACUGAUGCGCGACAGCAUGGGGAGCAAACAGG